RNAcentral lists this ribosomal RNA (464 nucleotides) under uncultured bacterium. Its description in RNAcentral is "partial 16S ribosomal RNA". It matches the Rfam family "Bacterial small subunit ribosomal RNA", at positions 28 to 507 of the family's 1533-position model. The record is from RNAcentral.
GACGAACGCUGGCGGCGUGCUUAACACAUGCAAGUCGAACGGAAAGGCCCUGCUUGCAGGGUACUCGAGUGGCGAACGGGUGAGUAACACGUGGGUGAUCUGCCCUGCACUUCGGGAUAAGCCUGGGAAACUGGGUCUAAUACCGGAUAGGAGCCAUUUUUAGUGUGAUGGUUGGAAAGUUUUUUCGGUGUAGGAUGAGCUCGCGGCCUAUCAGCUUGUUGGUGGGGUAAUGGCCUACCAAGGCGGCGACGGGUAGCCGGCCUGAGAGGGUGGACGGCCACAUUGGGACUGAGAUACGGCCCAGACUCCUACGGGAGGCAGCAGUGGGGAAUAUUGCACAAUGGGCGCAAGCCUGAUGCAGCGACGCCGCGUGGGGGAUGACGGCCUUCGUGUUGUAAACUCCUUUCGCUAGGGACGAAGCUUUUGUGACGGUACCUAGAUAAGAAGCACCGGCUAACUACGUG